GGGCCGGGCGGUACGAUUGCACGCGGACUUUUAAUCCGUUGAUCAGAGUUCGAUUCUCUGGCAGCCUACCA
RNAcentral lists this transfer RNA (71 nucleotides) under Dehalococcoidia bacterium. RNAcentral's name for it is "tRNA-Lys". The record is from RNAcentral. Lineage: Bacteria; Bacillati; Chloroflexota; Dehalococcoidia.